UCUAGCGGAACCGGGGGGACAUAUUUAAAUCCUUUUCUCUUCGGAUCACUCCUAUUUUCUCUCUUUCAUCUCCCUCUUACUCUCCACUCUCGCUCUACUCUUCUCUCUACCCUCUCCUCCGGCCACCCAUGUUCUUCCCUACCAUCCCUCAAACCGCCCUUAUCCUCAGUUUUUCGGUUAACCUUCAACCGAAAAACUCAUCCCCAAGAACCCUAAUACAAAGCCUACCCAGAAAAUCUCACCAACAAAGAACCCUAACCUGGGUCCGCGGUGAACGCUAAUCCUAUAACCUGGGAAGCGAAGAACCCUAGGGUUCAUCUAAUGAACUCUAACCCUAACUGCGAUGAACCCUAACCCUAAAAGUUACCCAGAAACCCACAUCGAACCCCAAAUCUCAUUAAUCCAAUAUUGAAACAUGAACAUGCAAAUUUUGAAAUGAAGAGAAGGCAAAGGUAAGUUAAAUCCAACCAACCUACGGAGAUGAGAGGUUCUCCAGUAAGCAGGUAAUCUCUUCGAUUCUCUUCUUCCUCUUUUGAUCCGGUUUAUCCUUCUUCCUCUUUUAACUUCUUCUCUCUGUUUUUUUUGUACGAUGUACAAAUGAUAGAGUCUAGCUCAGAAGAGUCAGGGUUUCAAUGUGAAACCCUAAUCUUAAGUUUGAUUCGAGCUUUGAUAAAGGGUUUGGAUUUGCAACAACAAAGGAUUUCUGUUUUGGGUUUUUCUCCCCUGUUUUUUGUUUAAUCCUUAGGCUUAUAUAGAUUCAUUUCAGGUUAAGGUUUUUAAUUAUAUUGAUUUAGUUAGGAAUUUUAGGAUUUGAUUUGUAUUAGCAAUCAGGUUUUCAGAUUUUUUCUGAAAAUAGAUUUUACGUUUGAAAUGUAACAGAUUAUUUGAUGCAUGUAGUCUUGAUUCGAUUUGUAAUUCAUGAUUCCAGUAAAAAUGAAAAGCUUGGAUUCAAUUGUGUUUACUGUUUGAUUAUUCAUUAUGUGCGUGACAUCAGGGGUUUGAUUGGGGAAGAAGAUGAACAGGGUUUUGGGUCAAUAUCUAGACCCGGUUGGAUGAUGGGUUUGGGUUACGCUUGACCCAACUAAAAUGUGGACUUCGAUCACACUUGACCCAAUUGAAAAAGGCCCGAUUUGGGCUAACUCAAACAAAUGUAAUUGAGACCCAAUAACAAUAACUCAGGAUACAUAAAAAUAAAUAAAUAAAAAAGAAUAAAAUAUGAUUAAAUAAUAACUUAAUUCUAAUAAUUCAUUAAUAAUAUUAAUAUUCUAAUACUUUAACUUUAAAAAUAUUGAUGAUAAUAUCUCUAAUAAUGAUAAAUAAUAAUAAGAAAUAAUAAUAUUGAUAAACAAUAAUAACAUUAAUAAAUAAUAAUAACAUUAAUAACUAACCAUGAUAAUUUAUUUUUAAUAAUAUUGAUAAUAUUCCUAAUAAUAAUAAGUAAUACUAAUAAUAGUGAUAAUAAGUAAUAGGCUUAAAUGCACUUUUGUUCUAUGUAAGUUAGCGAGUUUUUGAUUUUGGUUCCUGUAAUUUUUUUUUUGUAUGAGUCCCUAUAUCUCACUUUUUAUGUUGGUUUUAGUCCAUAAAGUCAAAAUCCGCAGUUUUCCUGCGAAUUUUUCUUUUAGGGACUAAAAACAAUACAAAAGUGAGACAUAGGGACUCAGACAAUUUUUUUUACAGAAAACAAAAUCAAAAACUCGCUAACUUAAAUAAAACAAAAGACUAUUCAAGUCUAAAUAAUAUUAAUAAAUAUUAAUAAUAUUAAUACUUUAAUUACGUCACUUAAUUAAAAAGUCUUAAUAUAAUAAUUUGAUAAAAUAAUUUUAACCCUAAUUUAUCUCAAUAUUAAUGUAUCUCGAAUAAUAACGUUAACCCCAAUUAACCACUCCUAUAUACAUCUAGAAUAAUAAUAUAUUAAAUUAUACCCCUAAAUCAAAAUCUAGUUCCUAUGAGGAAUUAAAAGUCAAAAUGAUAUUCCUUUGACUUUUUAGGUCAUUGGAGUUGACUAGAUGACCUGUAUGGGAAUCUGAAUACGUUAGUGACUUACAUCCUAAGUUAGUAGUAAAGACGAAUAUGAUGGUCAAAAUUUGGAGUACGACAUAUGACAUUUUUUGACCAUCUAGAAUUAUGUAAGUAGAUUUUUAUUUUUCAACUAUAUGAUAUAGUUUAAAUCUUCAUUUGAAUACAGAUGAACAAAAUAUAACAUGAAAGACCAAGUUCUGAGACAUUACAGAGAUGUAUCUCCGUAAUAUUCACGAAGAUGCAUCGUUGAUCCAAUUUAUGUGUAUAAUGACUUUUUAGUGGAAUGUAUAGUAUAUUUUAAAUUGUAACAUAUAUAUAUAUAUAUAUAUAUAAUAUAUAUAUAUAUAAUAUUUUAAGAUUUAUUCAGAAUUUGGUGCGACCUGAAUCUUCAAAAACUAAAAACAUUUAAAUAAUUUCGCCUGGUGGAUAAAAAAACAUAAAUGAUACAUUAAGAAAUCCAAAAAAAAACUAGGAGACCAAAACAAUCAAACAAAUAAGGUCAAUUUAGUUAUCAUUAAAGUAAUAGUUACACCAAAAUCAUGCUUACAAAGAAGAAACUAAUCAUUUUUAGAUUACCUGCAUUGUAUAUCAUAUAAUUCUUUUUUUCAUUUAUUAGGAAUUGCCAACUGUGGAUAAAUAUGAGCCGUAUCUAUCUCUCCUUUCUUUUUAUCCCAUUUCAAUAAUGCUAGUUACAACGAAUGUUAUGUUUGUUAACAUGUGAUUAUAAUAAUACUGUUUGGUUUUUGAAAGAAUAUUAUCACUAUUUCUAAAAUAUUGUUUUCUAAAGACAAAAAUAAUAAAUUUGAAGUUAGGAUAAAUAUUCUUUAUGCAUUGGGAUGAGAAAUUUAUAACCGAUUAAUAUGCAACGGAAAUAAAAUUCAUCAAAUUUAUAAGAAUCUUAAAGGAUCAACAACAAAUAUAUGACAAUAAGUAAAACAACUAAAUAUACAAGGGAGUAUUGAAAUUUUAACGUGAAAAUUUCUCAAUGUGAAAUCGAAAAACCAUGGAUCGUCCGAACCAAAGAAAUAAGUCCACUUUAAUCAAGUAAGGGUAUAAGAGAGACUCAAAAGAUGCACAAACUAAUGCUAACAACAACCAAACAAGGAAGCAAAUUAGCUUACAUAUAAGAAGAAAGAAGCUGAAAAAACCAAAAAUGUCAAUUAUGUGUGAAGUCAAUAUCUUUUGGCUCAUACUUUUUUGACGAUCCAAUUGUCAAAAGGAAGACAUGUGUGUUGGAAACUUGCCCUCCAAAAAUGAGCUUGAUCCAACUAUUGACAAAUUCGGAAUCACUAUUUUAUUAAGGCUGGUUGCAAAAAAACAGGAAUUGGUCUCUCUCUCUCUCUCUCUCUCUCAACCCUAAAAUGAUCAUCUCCGCUUAGGAUAAGUGAGAUUUAAAUGGGCUAACAUUGUGUCUUUCUCCACAUAGGAAUGAACCCCAAACCAACCAAAUCUCCCCAUUACAACUAUGUAAAGGAAAUCAUCAAACCGAUGAUAUCACAACAAACUUCAUACUCCUCUCUUUGUAACACUUUAGUCAUCAUAUCAUAAUCAUUAUCAUUAUCAUCAUUAUGAAAUUUAGGUAACUUCAACAACUUAGUAUCCAAAACAACACGUAUCCGAUGAUACCUCACAUCAAUGUUUUUGGACCUGUUAUCAAAAGUAGAAUUCUUACACAAAUGAAUAAAACUUUGACUAACAACAAAUAACAUAUAUUUUUGUUGAACAAAUCCAAGCUGCUACAAAUAUUUCUUCAACCAUAACAACUCUUUUUAUGCUUCAGUAAUGACAAUGAACUAUUCCUCUGUAAUAGACAAUGUCACACACUUUUGCAAUCUAGAUUGCCAAGCCACAACCCUUUACAAAUUUAUGUUGGAACAAAAUUAUUCAUAUUCCUUGGAUUUUUGAUGAUAAAAAAUUACUUAAAUAACACUUGGGUAUACUAACAUAUGUUCAAGUAUGCAAAAACAUAAGCUUAAAAUUCAACUCAGAACUGACUCUGAUAAAAACGUAUGUAAAGAAGCUUAAAGACUCAAAUUCUGAAGGAUCGGAAUCUAAUGGCUUUGAAUGUGUAACUCAGCUUCUGGUGACAACUCAAGCUUUGAAUACCCCAACUCCGGGUCCGUACUCUGUCUCUAAAGCAGACUGAUCUUGUCAAAGCCAGAGUUUUGGAAAAAGUAAACUAGAGUUUCUUAGUCCAAGGCUAAAAAAAAGUUGACAUGAACUCUUAAGUCUGCCCCCAACAUCUUGGUAGAUACCUAGUAUGAGAAAGACAGAGUGGACAAAGUUAUUACACAAUGAAUGAGGAUCUUAAUAGGAUUGACUUCCAACACCUCUCUUGGAAAUACUUCUCACCAAAAAACACUUGUGCAAGUCAUCUUCGAAUGACUCUUUUUCUACCUUUAUAAAAAGGAGUUGAAGAUUUGAAUGAAGGUUACCCAACUAACGAAUAAAAAACGAACCAUAUAAAGAAGAACAACACUGAGCAUAACUUUGAACUAAAGUUUUUAUCUAUUUUCUGCACAAGUUCUUAAGAUUUCUAAUCUUUGUAUACCUUAGAAAUCUUAAGUGUUUAAGAAUCUUAUGUUUGUUGUAUCACUUCUAUAGCUAUGAUAUUACAUCAGGUAAAGUUGUUAUCUAUUCUUAUAAACUAUUUGUUUAGAGUAUAUGGAGUCUUUUACUGGUCUGGUUAAGCAGUGGAAGUCUCUUGAUAGUUUUCUUGAGCAGUGGAAGCCUUUUUUCAGUAUGCUUGAGUAGAAAUCCCUUGCUAGGUUGCUUGAGCAAAAGUCUCUUUCUAGUGUGAUUGAGCAAUUUCAGUCUCUUGCAUGUUUUCUUGAGAAAAGUGUAAUCGGUUUGAUUAUAGUGAAAGUAUCUUGUUGGACAAGGGGAACGUACUACUCUUAGUUUAGGAGAGGAACCAGAAUAACUCUGUGUGUUUCUUUACUUCUUGCUUCUGAAUACUAUUCAUUCCGCUGCUAACAACUCUGAGAUCAUAUUAUGAAUUUCUUCAAAUUCUGAAGUUGGUUUUUUAGAAGGAAAAAAGAAUUAACAUACACAAUUCAACCCCCCUUCUUGUGUAUUUUUCUCACCUUCAGUUGGCAUAACAACACGAUCUAUGCUAAACACUUAAUAGUGGUACAUAAAAGGUCCCGAGAAAAAUACAUUUUCUAUCAUGUCUGAUGGUCCUAAAAUAACUAGUCCUGACGGUGGUACUCCUCAUGGUAAUAAUAACCAUGAUCAAAGUACAUUUGAUAAAAACAAUUAUAUUUCUAGACCACCAACAUUCAGUGGUAACUCUAUUGAGUUUAAUUGGUGGAAAAUAAAAAUAUGCACUCAUAUCAUAGGGCUUGAUUAUGAGUUAUGGGAUAUUCUUGAAGGUGGAAUCAACCUUGAAGUUGAUGGAGUAGGUAUGGUGACUGAUAGAAAGAAUCUCACAGCUGCUCAGAAAAAGGUUUAUAGAAAGCAUCAUAGAGUGAGGGGUAUUUUGGUGGAAUAUCUACCUCACUCAUAGUACAUAAAGAUCAUUAAUAAAUCAAUUGUCAAAACCAUCUUUGAAUCUUUAUGAGCCACUUAUGAAGGGAAUCAGCAAGUCAAAGAAGCUAAGGCUAAUUUGUUGGUUCAACAAUAUGAAAUGUUCAGGAUGGAAAAUGAUGAGAGUAUUGAAACCAUGUUUCUGAGGUUUUAAAUACUUGUGUAUGGGCUUCAGGUUCUGGAAAAAAUCUACGUCGUGUAUGAUCAUGUCAAGAAUAUUCUUAGGAGUCUACUUGUCAGAUACAGACCAAAGGUGACAACUAUUUAGGAAGCAAAAGACUCGAAUAAUAUCAACCUUCAAAGUCUGAUAAGUAAUCUCCAAAGUCACGAGUUAGAAAUCAAUGGAGAUGAAGAACCAAUCAAGAAAUCAAAGUCUCUGGCUUUGAAAUCUAUUGGGAGGUCUGAGAAAUCUUCUCAGGCUUAGGAGCACAAUGAAGCCACUCAUGAUGAAGCUUAUGGUGAAGAUUCUGAGGAUGAUGAAAUGGCAUUCAUCGUAAAAAGAUUUCAGUAUAUUGAUAACAAAAACAUGAGGGUCUUUGGUAAAAGAAUUGGUUUCAAAGGAACAAGCUCCAGAUAAAACAAGGAUGAUCAGAAAGGAUGCUUCAAUUAUCAUAAGCCUGGUCAUUUCAUUGUUGAUUAUUCCGAUCUUCAUAAGGACAAAGCUAAAAAGGAUAACUUCUAGAAGAAUAACUUCAGAAGUAAAUUCAAGAAAAGUAUCAUGGCAAUAUGGGAUGAACUCGAUGACAAAGAAGAAGCUGACAAGAGUAAAGAAGAAGUCAGCCUAGCUUUGGUUGCUUCAACAUUCUAAUAUUCAGAAUCAGAAGCUGGUUUUGACUCAGAUUCAGAGGAUACAAAAGAUGUAUUUUCUAAACUCUCUAAAUAUGAUUUAAUUACUUUGUUUCAAUAUCUUAUCAAAAGAUGCCAAUGGAAAGCUAGACAUAUGAACAUUAUAAAGAAACAAUAUGGUCUUAUAAAAUAUGAACUAAACUUCUCUAAAGACAAGAUUGAAAAACUUGAAAGAGAUCAGAUUUCUUUAAUAAAAGAUAUGUCUAACAAAACUCUUGAUAAAUCUGCAUUAGUUCUUUAAGAGUUUGUCAUAUAUGACUUUAACAGAACAAAACUUUCAUCCAUGAUCUAUUGUGUAAUUAGAAGCAAAAGAGAAGGUAUUGGAUAUCAUCAAAAACCAUAUAAUCCAAGGACUGAAAUCUUGAUGAAACUAUCAAAUCCUUUUUCUUCAAGUUAUGCUCAAAAAGGGCUGAACUCUCAUUUUGUGUCUGCUAGUAAAGUAAAGGGUUCAAACCAAACAGAAUAUAUAACUGCAUAAACAGAGGCUCUAAAAGAUUCAGAGUCUGAGAUCCCAAGAUCAAAGAUCCUGAAGAAAUCAGAACCAAUGACUCUAAAAUCAAAGGUUCUAAAAGAAUCAGAACCUGGAACAUCAAAGUGAAAGGUUCGAAAGAAGCUAGAACCUAGGACAUCAGGUUACAUGGUUCUGAAAGGUCCAGAACCUAAGACUAUGAAUCAUUCAAGACAACAUACUUCAAAAUAUAAAGUCUUGAAUGAUCCAAAGACUUAUUACAAAGCUAAGGACCAAAAUAAGAACGGAAUAUCAUAGCUAACACUAAAGGACCCAUAAAAGUAUGGGUACCUAAGAAUGAUAUUAUUUUUAUUGUAGAUAUGCUGAAGAACAAAGCAACAAUCUUAGUUCCAUGACAGUGGCUGCUUACAACUUACAACAAGAAAAAUGCCUAUAUUCCAAAUCCCAACUCAAAAGGAGGGAGAAAAUGUGGAUUUUGGAAGUAAACAAUAAAAAAACAUCAUUGGUACUGGGAGGACUAAAUUUAAUCAAUCAUAAGUUGAAGAGUAUUGUUGGAACAAUGUAGCUCCUCAAGAAAAAUCUCAAUAGCAGAUCUGAAGUUGCACAUAGAAAGGCAUGGCUAUCUCUGUGCUUUUAUGCAACCAUUUAUAAUCCUAACAUUUUAUAUAUAGGUCAGAAGAGCUUCAUAUUUAUGAAAGAAGAAUUACACUUCACUGUGAUAAUUAUGCUUCUAUUAAAAUGGCAAAGAAUCUUAUUCUAUAUCAGAGUCAAGCAUCUUAAUUUUUAAAAAAAUUGUCCUUACAUCUGAUUGGAGAAGCAAAGUCUGAUGGUGUCUAGAAGCUACUAUGAUCAGAAGAUCUGAACCAACUUCUGAUGAAUAAUAGCCUUUGAAGUCUCUCAGCCUCUAAAACUCAGAAUAAGGUAACUGCCUUUGAUACGCAGGCAAGUGUACAAAACUGUUUUACAACCUUUGUCACCUGUCCUCUUAUGUGUCAUAAAUCUGAAAUAUCUUAUGACACAUGAAUUGUAAAUGUUGGCUAAAAACUCCUCAAAUCAAGACAUUUUUUUCAAUCAAAAUACUAUACUUAUAUUAGACACACACACUUCUCUCUCUCUCUCUCUCACACACACACACACCUACACACACACACACACACACACACACACACACACAUACACACACACACACACACACACACACACACAAACACACACACACACACACACACUCACUUCUCACACUUUUAUAUUCUCAAAAUGUCCUCUAAAAAAUAACCCAUUUCAAAAAGGAAACCCUAGAAACCUUAAAGCUCCUUCUACAAUGGCAUCUCCAUCAUCCGCUCAAUUUACACACAUGAUAGUCGAAUUUGGAAAGAGUCUGACUAUCAAACCUAAAACCAUGAAUAUCAAUUAGGAGGAUCUAAAGUGGUUAGUGGAAUAGUUUUUUGAUUUUGAAUCCUUCAAUCAGAGUGGGAAUGACCUAUGGAGUUUCUUUAGAGUACAAGAGUGGUCUUUAUUUUUUAAUAUGCUAAAUGGACCAACUUACCCUCAUCUGGUAAGGGAUUUAUGGGUUAAGGUUGAAGUUUAUAGCAAACUUUCUGCAUAUAUGGAACAAAAUCUGAUGGUACAGAAUGACAAAUCCUUGAAAGGGGGAAGUAUAGAGGAAAUAGGUAUGAAGAAGUGGAUAUUAGGUUAGCAGUGAUGAGUGUUGAUGUAACCAUCACUCAGAAGACUAUUUCGAAGCUUCUGAAAGUAACAAACACUAGAAGGUUCAUUUUGAACACAAAAGUAAAUAGUCCUGAAGCUGAAGCCACUAAAAGAUGUUUAUUUGAGCUCUAUAGAGAUAGGUGUUCUUCAGACUUUGGAAAGGUGAGGAACAUGAAGAAAAAUUUCAAGCUUGUGUUCAAAGUUCUUAUUGGUUGUCUGAUCCCUAGAGAAGUCAACACUGAUCAAAUCUCAUGGGAUCAUAAGCACUUCAUUUUCUACUUGGUAAAUGAAGAUAAGAUAAAUCUCCCUGCCUACAUCUUCCAUCAUCCAUAUGAGGCUAUCAAGGAUAGCAAGAAGCACAAUAAGAAGAAUGUGCCAUAGGCUAGACUUUUGUCUGAAAUGUUUUAUCAGGUUGUCUGAUUAAUGCCCUUAAAAUUGUUCCUGAUAAUGAGUAUCUAAAGAAGAUCCAUGGGAAAAUUAUUUCUGAUUAUGUUCUACCCAACAUGAAGCUUCUGAAGAAGAGUGGAGUGGUGGUAUCUAAAGAGCCUUUUAGAGUUAGAUGUACAAGUAUUGAUUAUCUUAAGGAUUAUCCUGUCAUUACCAAGCAGGACAAUCCUGAUGUAAUCAGAAUAUACAUUCAAAUGGAAAGAGAAGAAGGUAUGGUUCUGAGAUAUAAAUACUUGCCAAAUGAACAUGUUUAUAUGUACAAAUAUUCUAAGAAGAGAAAACAGGUUGCUUUAUACUCAGGAGGAUAUUCAUAAGCCUUAUGAGAAGAAGGUUGUGCAACAGAAGGAGAUUGAGAAAGAAGUUGAAAAGGUUAUUGUGUCCACUGUCUUAAUGCCCUAUAAGACAAGAAGUGGAAGAAUUCCUAAGAAGGUAUCUUCUUCUUCUAUCUCAUAUGAUGCACCUAUAAGGAUGAAGAAGUUAAAGAAGAUGCGUGUUCCUGAUGAAAUUGAAGAGGAAGAGAAAGAAGAGGAAUCUAGGGUAUCCUUAUCAGAAGGAAGAAGAUUGCAGAUGUUGAAGCCCAGAAUAGUGUAGUAGAACCUGUUUUUAGGGGAGCUCAACUCUUAACCUAUGAUUUGUUGGAACAAGUAGAGAAGCAUCAUGCAACUUCUGAUUCUCUAUUAGAAGAAAUUGUUGUUGUUAGUGAUGUUUUGGAGACUACUGAGGUCCAAGUUGCUGAAGUCAUAACUAUUUUAAAGUCUGUUGAGAAGACCGUUAAAGCUGGAGCUUUUGGUGUACCUAAAAAAGUUGUAUCAAAAGUUGUUGCCUACCUUGAUUCUGAAGUUGUUGAUGAAGAGAAUCAAGCUACUCUAGAUUAUAUGGAGACUGAUAUGACAAGUAGAAAUCUAAGCUCUAUCUUGAAAGAUUAUUUUGAUUAUUCCACCUAAAAUCACAAAUAACCAUCACCUUCACUCAAUCCCUCACCCGACCCAUCUCCAAAACACACUUUAUGACCUGUUCAACAAUCAAAACCUGUGGCAGAGUCUUCUGAACCAACUUCCAUCAAUCAAAUUCUAUAAAAAGCUAUGAAUUUACCUGAUUCUAAAUAGAGUGCUUGUGAAUCCACUAAUAACAUACUUUUCUGCUUCUAAACAACUAACACCUUUGAACAUCAUGCUUGAACCACCCAUAGAUGUUUCUAGUGGGAAAGAUUCUUCUAGUUUUGAGUUAGAAAUUGAUAAAGUUGAGUUCAAUGCUCGUGUUGGCCUCAAACCUGUGAUCCUUUCAUCUAUUUUUAUCAGACUUGUCCAAGCCAUCCCUCUUCAAACCUUCUCCCCUAAAGACCUACCAAAUGACCAAACAUGUUAUGCUUAUGAACAAAACAAUUUAUAUGUUCAAGAUAAAGAUGAACAUGUAACCCUUAUUCAACUGACACCUCAACCAUCACCCAAAACUACACCUUAAAAAGAACCUAGUCAUGUUCAGACUCAAUCCCAAGUUCAAGUUGCAUCUAAACCUCAAAUUGAGGUUGAAUAAAUUGUUCAAGAUCAAUCUCAAGUUCAAACUACAUCAGAACCUCAAAUUGAAACGGAACAAGAAUAUUUUGACCUACUUCAUCCAUAAUCUUCUUUAAGCCUGACUAUCCAAGAAAACUAACCUUUUGGCCAUUCACAAACUAAUAUUCCACUUCUUCUGCCUUUUAUCCAAGCCAAUUUGGAAGAAAUAAAAACUAUUUUCCUUGAUAAAAUGCAUAAUCUGGUUGAUGAGAGAACCAUAACUUCUGGCCCAGUAGCUUAUGUUUCUAAAUGGGCUUUCCUCACAACCUUUGUAGGAUCAGUCUUUCAAGAUCUGAAGAAUGUCUCUUUAGAGUCUUUUGCCUCUACUAGUAAGAGACAAGAACUUGUGGAGGCAAGCUGGCCUUUGUUGCUACUUAUCAAGAAGCUAUAGCUAUCAAGCUGACAUAGAUGGAUGAUAUGAUGAAGUCUAUGGAUUCCAUACAAGAUAUCAUGGGUGCUGAUCUGAAAUCUUGUUUUGGAGCUUCUGAAGAAACCCCAGGCUUAUGAUUUAGAACCUAUUUUUUAUCCUCUUAACUAGUCUUCUUUUAUGCUAAAAUAAACUUUUUACUUGAAAUUAAUUUAUUAUGUCGUUAGUUUUAUUUACUCAUGUAUUUUAAACACUGAGCUAUACUUAUUGAGAAUUUUUAUAUCUUCUAGUAAAAUAAAAAAGAAUUAUGCUCUCCCUAUUUUUUAUUUACUUUGGGCUUAAUUGGCUGGAAUGUUUAUGAAACUUCUCUAACAUUGGAUCAUUCAAAAGGAAUCAAGAAACCUAAUAAAAAGUAUUAUUGCAAAAAGAGAAAGUGACUAAUAUAUCAUUAAGUAUUGAAAAAGAUUAAAAGACGGUUGUUCUACAAUAUUUUAUCUAAAUCAUCGCUAUAUCCUUGAGCAAUGAAAGUGGUUUCCCAGUCUAUAUCUGGAUUUUCAUCUCCAUCUUAAUCAAAGUAGACGAUUUUCUUUGGAACCUUCUUCUUCUUCAUGAGUUUCUUCUUCUUCUUUGAGGUAUUCCUCAUCUUGAGUGCCUCCUUGAAAGUGUUUGACACAUAAGAUUGGGCUUCUUCACUUCUCAGUUGUUAGUGCUCCAUGGUUGUGUUGGUCUCAUUCGCCAAAGUUGUCUCAGAAGAAACAAAGACUUUGGUACCUUCAGAAGGAGUGCUCAUUUUGUUAAGAAGAGAAAUAGUUGGAUGAAGAUGUGAGAUUUCAACCUAUGAACUAUAGAGGAUCUUGAGUGUCUCAUACGUUGCUUGUGGAAGUUUAAUAAUUUAUGAUGUUUAAUUGCAAUGAUUACUUAUGAUGUUUCUAAUUCAUAGAAGCUGAAAGGCGUGUAUUUGACCGUCUUGAGAAGCGAAGACACUUUUUCCAACCAAUUUAGUCAUUUUUCUUUCUUUUGAUAAAUGUGAUUCAAUUUUUGGGAAGUGCAAGAAUUGUUUUUAUUUAUUUUUAUCAGAAUUUAAAUUUUUCCACAAUUUUUUUCUUUUCUUCAAUAUCUUUUCUUCCUUUGUGCUAUCCUUUUUUAAUUAACUUUUUGCUAGUGAGAAAAGGAAGAGAAAAUAAUGGAGGGGGGGUUACAAACUUCAGACUUUGAUGUUAUCAAGUUAGUUAAAAUAAUCAACCAUUAUUCUUAAAUACCUUUGUUUUUCAUCAUCAAAAAGGGGGAGAUUCUUGGAAAAAAUUGUUCAUAUCCCUUGGAUUUUGAUGAUAACAAAGUACUUAAAGAAUAUUUGGUUAUACUAACAUAUAUUCAAGUAUGCAGGAUCAUAACAAUUUAACUCAUAACUCACCCUUAUAAAGGCAUAUGUAGAGAAGCUUAAAGACUCAGAUUCUAAAGGAUCGGAAUCGGAUGAUUCUAAAGAUGGUAUUUCAUCUCCCGGUGACAACUCAGACUCUGAAGACCUCAGCUUCUGAUCUGUACUUUGUCUCCAAAGCAGACCGAUCUUGUCAAAGUCACACUUUUUGAAAAAGUCAACUGGAGUUUCUUAGUGCAAGGCUUAAGGAAAAGUUGACGUGGCCUCUUAAGUCUGCCCUCUCAUCUUGGUAGAUACCUAGUAUAGGAAACACGCAGUGGACAAAGUUAUUACACAAUGGAUGGAGAUCUUAAUAGGAUUGACUUCCAAUGUGUCUCUUGGAAAUGCUUCUCAAUAAAGAAAACUUGUGCAAGUCAUCUUCCAACGAUUCUUUUCUUGCCUCUAUAAGAAUGAGUUGAAGAUUUGAAGGAAGGAUACCCAACUAAUGAAUAAUGAACGAAGCAUCUAAAGAAGAACAACAUUGAUCACAACUUUAAGCUAAACUUUUCAUCUGUUUUCUGCACAAGUUAUUAAGAUUUCUUAUUUUGUAUAUCUAAAAACUCUUAACUGUUUACGAAUCUUCUGUGUGUUGUAUCACUUCUAUACCUCUGGUUUUACAUAAAGUAUAAUUGUUACCUAUUCUCCUAAACUAUUUGUAAGGAAGUCUCUUAUUGGGUUUCUUGAGCAGUGAAAGUCUCUUGCUAGUUUGCUUGAGCAGUGGAAGCCUAUUGCAUGUGUGCUUGAGAAGAAGUCUGUUUCUAGGUUGCUUUAGCAUAAGUCUCUUUCUAGUGUGAUUGAGCCGUUAAAAUCACUUGCCAGUUUGUUUGAGAAAAGUAUAAUCAAUUUGAUUAUAUUGAAAAUCUCUUGUUGGACAAGGUGAUUGGACCACUCUCAGUUUAGGAGAGGAACCAUGAUAACUCUGUGUGUUGCUUUACUUCUUGCUUAUGAAUAUUAUUCAUUCUGCUGCUAAUAACUCUGUUAUUAGAUUUGGGACUUGGUCAUAUUCUGAAGUUGGUUUUUCAAAAGGUAAAAAUAAUUAACAUACACAAUUCAACCACUUUUUCUUGUGUAUUUUCCUCAUCUUCAAUUUAAUCAUGUAGUUUGACGUGGACUUCUUGGAUUCAAUGUCUCCAGUCAUUUUUGAUUCAGCGUACUCAUUUACGGUAAACUUAUCCCCUCUAAAGCAAAGCCUCAUAUAAAUAGACAUGGAAAUGGGGCAUGUCAAGGACGAUUUUUCCCUUCCUAAACCCAAACCUAAAUCUCCAAACAAUCUCUGUUCUCCGUUUUCCGCCCCAAUGGAGAUGAAGAAUUAAAACUCAAAGCAGUUUCAAACAGGUCUCGGUAUGAAAUGUAGUUAUUUAUACUUAGUUAUUUAUACUUAUUUGUGAGACUUGUUUAAAACAUUUUAGCUUAAAUAUAUUUUUCUAGAACUGCUUUAAUAUAUUUUAAAUAUAUUGUGGUGCUACUCUCUAACAAUAAUAGUUCAUUGUAUAGUCUACCGUGAAAACAUCCUGCAGAUGCCUCCAAUAGACAAAGAAUAGGAGGAUGUAGCUGCAAGGUUACCACUGCACAAGUUAAUGGAAUAAAGAAAAUAAAUUUGGAAGUGUGUAAUAAAUUGUUCCUUUGUGUGACAGAUAGUCACACUUAUAUAAAUGACAGUUACAAUUGUCCUUGAAAAUUCAAUGCGCUGUGUAACGGAUUGUUGAAUGGAUACCAAACUCAAAAGAGUUCUGAUAUGAAGUAUCGUGUCUCUUGAAAGAGUUCUCCAACAACAGAUGUACUCUCCAAAUAAUAAAUUUAUAUAAAAGAAAAAAAAAA
RNAcentral lists this long non-coding RNA (14168 nucleotides) under Lathyrus oleraceus (garden pea). Its description in RNAcentral is "Pisum sativum (pea) long non-coding RNA (PSAT_LNC037315)". The record is from RNAcentral. Lineage: Eukaryota; Viridiplantae; Streptophyta; Magnoliopsida; Fabales; Fabaceae.